Molecule: ribosomal RNA, 203 nt
Filed under: Clostridioides difficile
Lineage: Bacteria; Bacillati; Bacillota; Clostridia; Peptostreptococcales; Peptostreptococcaceae
Description: partial 16S ribosomal RNA
Rfam family: Bacterial small subunit ribosomal RNA
Source: RNAcentral
AGAGAGACUGCCAGGGAUAACCUGGAGGAAGGUGGGGAUGACGUCAAAUCAUCAUGCCCCUUAUGCUUAGGGCUACACACGUGCUACAAUGGGUAGUACAGGGGGUUGCCAAGCCGUAAGGUGGAGCUAAUCCCUUAAAGCUACUCUCAGUUCGGAUUGUAGGCUGAAACUCGCCUACAUGAAGCUGGAGUUACUAGUAAUCG